Molecule: long non-coding RNA, 13316 nt
Organism: Acinonyx jubatus (cheetah)
Lineage: Eukaryota; Metazoa; Chordata; Mammalia; Carnivora; Felidae
Exons: 8
Source: RefSeq, a predicted model, not a curated record
UAGCAUAGGGUUCUUAAUUUUUUGUUGAUUUUAUAGUAUUCCAAGCCACCCAACUUGCUACCAACCUGCCUCCUAAAAUUGUACCUGCAUCAUACCCAUGCUGUCUUUCUUUCCUUAAGUCUCAUGGAGGAAAUAGAAGUGCCCCUCCUCAUGUCUUAGACCAGUCCCCUCCCUCGAGACUCAUCAGUCCCUCUUGCUGCCUCAGGGAUCCUGUUCCACUGUCUGUCUCCCAUCCUGCCUGGGAAUGCAGAUUUUCUCUGAGCCGGCUCUGCAGCAUUGGACAACAUGCAUCGAGAACCCUUUCCCCUGGGGCUUCUGUGACUGCAUCAGUCAGGAUAGGCCAGAUUACGCAGCAGUAACCCAGUGAUUAUCCCCAAGUCUCAGUACUCACAGAGGCAGAGAUUUAUGUCUCACUCGUGCUCCAUGUUCAUUGUAGGUUGGCCACAGGUCUGCUCUCUGUCCUCCUCAUUCUGGGACCUGGGCUGAUGAAGACAACUCUGUGGCAUGUGUUCCCUCUUCUGGCAGAGGGAAAAAAAAGAGAUCACAGAGAAGCACAUACUGGCUCUUAAAGCUUCCACCAGGAAAUGACACAGGUCCCUUGUGCUCACGUUCCAUUACCCAAAGCAUGCGACAUGGCCCAGCCUGAUAUCAAUGAGGUGUGAUGCGGGCUCCUUCCCAGGGAGGGCAGGGUGACAAUCCACUCCACUACAAAACUGCCUUCUCUCUGCUGUCCCCCUUCCCUGUCAUGUUGGUGGUGCUUAAUCCCCUAAAUUCAGAUUUGCAUAUUAGAUACAGCCCACGUGUUCAUGUUGCUUGACCUGUUUAGGGUUUUCUAAUUGCUUUCUACUCUUUAAAAGCGGGAUGAUUUCACCCUUGGGUUCACCAGUAUCACUUUUCUUGAAGAAUCCAAAGAUGGGCACGCCUGGGCGACAUGCACCUUUGGUAGCCUCUGCUGGAGCUGGGCUGUGGCCGCCCCAUUUAGAUGGACGUGUGUGCUACAGUUGGACACGUUCUCCUUUUGUGUUCACAGUUCAUGUUGCUGCCAGCCUGGGUGGUAUCCCUGUUUGUUAGGCUUUCCUUAAAUGCUAAUGACCCCACGGUUUCCUCCUUGGUCUCCAGUCUACUCACUCUGCAUAUUCUCCUGGAGGAAACUGCUUUUUCCUCGUGGCUUCAGUUUCAGUGCUGAUCCUCUCUGAACCCCAUCCUCUCUGUCCACCCCACUAAUGGGUCACUGUAGGUCUUUAUCAUCUUUCAAGUGGAUAAUUUUGUCAGCCUCCCACCUGCUUGCCCAGUCCCUAGUCUGGCAGAAGCCCUGAUCUAUCCCCAGUUAAUGCCAUGAUCUAUUAUAAAGCCCACAUCUGGUUGUGUAAGCACUCCCACCCAUCCCCAGAAUGUACUUCUUUGACACACCAUUGCUAUAGGAGUGAGCCCAGUCUCCUUUAGGUGGCUCUCUCCUGGCCCUACCAUCCUCUCCCGUCUCCCUUCUUGCUUCUACUCUUGUGCUUUAUGGUUUGGUCAAAUGGAAUUACUUAUAUAAGCUGCACUGUCUUUCUAGGUCUCUGUGUGUGCCACUUUUGGUUCAGUGUGGCAGCGUCUCCUCCUCCUGGAAGCCUUCCUUGACUGCUCCCCAUCCUCCCCCACGCUGGGCGAGGUAUCCUAUUUGAUGCUUCAGAAUCAUUUUGUAUCUCCUCUAACAUAGUCCUUGGUAUCCUUAAUUGUAAUCACAUUUUAAUUUCUCCACUUCUCCAAUUAAAUGGUUUUAGGGGCUGAAUUGUGUCCCACUAUCCUCCUCCCCGCCAAAUUCAUCUAUCUGUUCAAGGCCCAACCAAACCCCAGUACUUCAGAAUGUAACCAUAUUUGGAGAUAAGCUCUUCAAAGCAGUGAUUGAAUAAAAGUGAAGCAGUUAGGGUGGGGCCCUAAUCCAAAUUGACUUGUGCCCUUGUUUUUUGUUUUUUGUGUUUUUUAAGUUUCCUUAUUGACUUUGAGCGAGAGAGAGAAAGAAAGCAGGGAAGAGGGGCAGAGAGGUGAAGAGAGAGGGAAUCCCAAGCAGGUUCUACACUGUCAGCACAGAGCCGGAUGUGGGGCUCGAACUCUAGAACCACGGUCUAGACGAUCACGACCUGAGCCGAAAUCAGGAGUCAGAUAGAUGCUUAACCAACUGAGCCACCCAGGUGCUCCCAGUUUGACUCGUGUCCUUGUGAAAAGAGGAGGAGACACAGGGAGGAGUGCCCACAGAGGAAAGGCCAAGUGGGGACACAGGGAGAAGAGUGCUAUCUGCCAGCCAGGGAGAGAGGCUUCUGAAGAAGUCAAACUUGCUGACACCUUGAUCUUGGACUUCCAGCCUGCAGAACGAUGAGAAAAUAAAUUUCUGCUGUUUAAGCCUCCCACUCUGUGGUAUUUUGUUAUGGCAGCCGUCGUGGACUGAUACAGAUGGUAGGCGAUUUGAGGACCAGUUCAAGUCUCUUUCUCUUGGUGUUCUUAUCAUAUGCUGCAACGCCUGUCCUACGGUAAAGGCAAAGUGAAUAUUUAUGGAGUCAGUCUAUUGAUAAAUUGAUAAACAGAAAGACAAAUUUGAUACUGAUCAAUGCAGUCCAUUUUGAGAGUUAUUUUGAUAUGAUAAAUUUGUAAAUUUUUAAAAACAUUUUUAUUUAUUAUUGAGAGACAGAGACACAGCAUGAGUGGGGGAGGGGCAGAGACAGAGGGAAACACAGAAUCUGAAUCAGGCUCCAGGCUCUGAGCUGUCAGCACAGAGCCCAACGCGGAGCUCAAACCUACCAACUGUGAGAUCAUGACCUGAGCUGAAGUCGGUCAGUUAACUGAGCCACCCAGGCGCCCCUUGAUAUGAUAAAUUUGAACUUAAGGAACUUGUAGCAAGUUCCUUAUCAGGAAAGGACUUGCAAAUCACAGAUGGCACAGGAAAAGUGCAUUGGUUAGUGAAUAAGAGGGUCGUAUCCUAACAGUGUUUUGUUUUGUAUUUAUAGUAGCUUUUCUCUACCAAAAAGGCUCUGGCCCCCCUGGGAGCGGUAGUGAGAGGCAUCAGUAUGUGGGAACUUCUCGGGAAGCCCCGGUGUGAGGGGACGUGAGGGAGCCUCUGGCUGGCACCAAGGGUUCUGCUGGCUGGCAGGGGGCCAAGUCCUGCCACCCAUCCUCUGGGAAGAUCCUCUCAGAACUCUGCUGGGAUGAGUCAGCCACCCUUGCUCCGGAAUGACAAUCGCACCUGGAAUGCGCCUUGUGGAAUGGCAGUGGAGGGAAAGACCUGGCAGAUUGGAGGUGAAAAGAAAGAUGACUGUCAGUAAUUUAUAUGACAACAAGCAUCUGGGCAAGAAGUUUCUGCAGGGUCAAUCAACAUCUAGAUGAUUUUGAUCCACAAACACAACAAUAUCUAGAAGCAUCUGGGUGGUAAGUGGAAAGGCUUGUGUUUUUUUCUACACGUGUAGCACCUUUGGGCAACCCCAGCCAGGAACAGCUUGGUCAGGAGGAAGGAGAUGAACUGUCGCCACAUUCCCCACAGGUUGCCCUGGUUUGGAAGAGGCUAGAUUUGGCCAGAGUUGUGGUUUACCAGACACGUGCACACAUCAAUACACACGAAUGCCGUCUGAGGCUGCUUGUGUGGAUCCAGAGAGACUGCAAGCUAGGAGUUGCAGAGAGAAGGCUCCCCCUGGGACUGAAGAAUGUCAGGCAACAGACUCCUAGAUCCAUAGCAUUCAGUGCAUUGAGCCAUCCCACCCCAUGCACGGUGGGUGACCAGUAUUGGUCACAGGCAACAGUGGCACCAAGAGCACACAGUAGGACAGCACGCUCAGAGAAAGAAUGAGAAUGGGAUCAGGCCAGUGGUAAGCAUCUUGGUAGUCAAGGUGGUUGACAUGAAUGGGAGUCAGAAGACGGGCUUAAGUUUCAGUUCUUGGGAGCUAAUAUCACCUGCCCUGAACAAAGAGGUCCCAUAAGGAAGCAGGGCUCACAGAUCACAACCCCAUCUCACCAUGAAUUCCUGGAGUUAUGGGGUCACCAUCUGGUUCUGAGACCAGAUUAAAUGAUGCUAUAAUUCCCAUUCAUUCAUUCAUUCAUUCAUUCAUCCUUCAUUCACUCGACCCUAUUUAUUGAAUGCCUACAAGGCAUGGAUCAAGAACUACCCUAGUUAGUGGGGAUUAAAUAGUAAACUAGUGUAUGGAGGAUAUAGGGGAAAUAGGUCCUUGCAGUAAAUGGAAUAGGUGCUCUGAUGGGGUGGGGGUGUGCUGAGACCUCACCCAGGCCUGACGCCUCCCUACUGCCCGGAGGAAGUGAUAUCCACAUGAAGAUCUGGAGGGUGAGUGGAACUGAGCCAAAGAAAAGGAGGGCUAAGGAGUUUCCCGGAAGAGGGGGCCCGGCCGUGUGGCGGCUCAGAAGAGGAAGAGUCAAUAGUUCAGAGGGCUGGACUAUUUAGUGGGAGAAAUGAGGCAGAUGAACUCCACACGGCCGGGUCCUGCAGAGAAUCUGUUCCUCCUGGUGGUGAGGGUGUGGACCACUGGCAGGCUGAGUAUGUGGUCUCAAGCUCACAAGAUAGAACAGAGCAGGAGGUAAAGAUUGGGGAAUCUCUUGUGUAUAGAUAUCACAGUCCUGAGAAUUCGUGAAAUCCCUCCCAGAGAGUGUCCAGAGUGAGAAGACAGAGCCCAGGACACUCCUGGAAAUCCUCAACCUUUAAGGGAUGGGCAGAGUUGCAGGGGCACCUGAGCCCAACUGGGAUGGGUAGCCAGAGAGCUGGGAGGAGAACCAGGAGAGGCAGCAGUAAGGUAGGUUCCCAAAGGAAGAGCAGGUUUGAAGGUUGAGGUCAUGGUUAACAGUGUAAAAGAGGCUAAGAAAUCAAGCAAAAUAAUUAAAAAAAAAAAAAAAAAGCCUAAUAAACAACAUGGGGAUGGUUGGGAAUCAUGGUGAAGUCAGAAGCUUCUAGAUAAUCCCGGUGUAGGGAGGGAGUAGAGAGGAGGAGAAGAGAAAACAGCGUUGUGAACUUUCUAAAGAGUUCUGGCCAUGGUGGCAGGAAAGAGCUCCUCCUGGAACCAGAGGACUUUGGUGUGGAGGCACAUUGAAGAUGAAAGAGAGAAGAGCGAAUAUUACUGAGUGCCUUGGGGAGCUGAGACCUCUCAGCAGGGAUGGGAGUGGAUUCCAGGGUUUAAGGAGUGGAAGGUGCCCCCCACCUUACGGCAAGCCCAGAACGUGUUUCGAUGCUGUGUGGGCAUUAGGGAGAGAAACCAUGUGAUGGUCAGACUGUGUGAAGGUAGCCCUGCCCCGUCCUUCUCCCGGCUGUGUGACCUUCAGCAAGUCAUUUAAACCCCCUCAGCCUUAAUGUCUUCAUCUGCCACAAUGGGACUUCCCUCGUAAGGCUAUUGGAAAUACCGAGUUCCGUAAGGUACAUAAAAUAAAGUGCCUGGUAAGUACUUUCUGAGCGUUACUGCCUCGGAAGGAUGGCUGCUUGCCAGCGGCCUGUCCAUCGAGGGCGGGGGGCGGGCGCGUCCCCCAGUGUCCUCCUCUGUCCUGAAUGGGGUGCGGGCUCCUCCUCUCUGCUCUGCUUGCUCUCUCCCUGCCCCGGAAGCCACACAGCCCUUGUUGAUCUCUGUGAUCUCGACUGUACUUACUCUGUGGGGCCUCUGACAGGAAUAGAGGCUGGGGACACACCUACUGGCACUCUGCAUCAAAGGGUAGGUGACACCUCAGGGGGAAACCACAGCUUCGGAGCUCUUUGCUGGAAAGCCCAACCGCCUGUUUUUCUGUAGGCCGGGAUUGCUGUGAGAGGGAAUGCGGAUUGCCCCCCUGGAACACGGCAAGGUACUUCCGAAAUGGUCUUUUUGUUUUUGAGCAUCACCGCAAUGCGAUGUAUAAGACUCUGAUCGCCAUCAAAAUAAGAAGAUUGAGAAUAUGAGGCAAACGACAAUGGUCCCUCCUCUGGGGGUUCGCUUUCUGCGGUUUUGGGUACCUGCAGCCAAGCCCAGUCGGGAAGCAGGUGAUCGAUCCUACUCCUGACAAGUUGGCGGAUGAUCCAUAGCGCCUAACGCCACGUCUCAGCGCCUUCCGUUGUCCACCUGCCUCCGUCUCAUUGUCUCAUCGCGUAGGCAUUUAAUCAUCUCACAUCACUGCAAGAAGGGCCUGCCCCAUGAGAACACUGGAACAUCUGGUUGAUGUCUGCACCUGGAAAGGGCUGAAGCAACCGACUGGCAAAAUUCCUGCACACAUGACUCUCAGCAUGGAUAUAGAUGAGAAAACUAAAGCUCAGAGAGGUCAAGCAACUUUCCCAGGACCCCUCAGCUAGUUAGUGCAAGAACCGAAUAUAAAUCCAUGUCUACCCACAUAACUCCAGCGCCUUCCCCCUAAAUCAACCUUUUUUUCUGGAUUGCUUUUUUUUUUUUUUUCUUUUUUCUUUUCUUUUUGUUCAUUGUGGAGACCUGAAGAAGAAUCUGGUGGUCCGGUGGUCCUCGGUCCUGAAAAGGGCCUACCAGAAUUCAGAGGAUCUUGUGUCUCUUGCAUUCAAAGCCAUGGCUCCUGGCAGCUGGGACCUGGGCCUCACCACGUGCACCACGCGUCGCUGGCUUCCAGGUGCCAGGGGCUUGGGCCGAGGCCACACAGUUGUCUGCACGGGGCCCGGCCCCACCGCUGGCUGUCUGGAGUGAGCGCCCGGGAUGGAUCCUCUCCGUCUGCCAGGCUGUUUUCCUCAUCCAUCUGCCUUGUUGGCUUUAAUGCAAGCAGGAAACAAAACUGAAAAAAGAGGAAAUCGAUGCUUCACAGAAAAGGGACAACAUCUUCCUUUAGCCAGUGGGGGUCUGAGGAGGGGAGUGGUGACUAAGGUUUGCGGGGCGCUGUUACCUGCUGGCGAGGGGCUGCAGAAGCCAGCUGCGGAUCAGGCUGUGCCACCGGUGCCUGCGAGUGGCUGAUGCGGAGGCCUCUUGGCGGCUGGGGGAGGCGGCACGAGCUGUCAGCUUCGAGCAGGAAGCCAACCCAGCCCGCGGCACCCGGAGGGCGAACAGUUGAAUGAAACACACACUUGGUGAGGAUGUUCGGCUUACAGAUGUCACUAAGCUGAAGCCGUGAUCGCUAGGAGCCAAUAAAUCGCGGCUUGCGGCAUUGGACCCCACCGACCUGACGCUCUCUUUCCUCACCUGCGGCCGAGAAGGGAUACGGGAUAAGCCGCUUCUUGGCCGCAAGUCCUGGGAAUACUAUUUUGUAUUUGGAAACUGCCAGAGAAUCACUGAUGAGCCAGUCCAUUGCGCCGAGUACGUUGGUCGUGGUGGGCUCCCUUCGGUGACUGAGGCGGAAGCCAGGGAGAGCACAAGUGCUGGCUGGCCAAGAGAAGCUACUUGCAGACGGCCACGGCCAGCACUCAGAAGUGGAGAACAUUGUUUUGGAGUCAAAGAGACGGGCCCCAGAGGCAGGCAGGAAGAGUAGCCGACUUAACAACAUUGCCAGCUUCCACAAACCAGCUGAUGACCCAUGUGAGCCCAGAAUGGAAAAGACUGUCACAUGUUGGGUGCCUGGCCUGGACCUCACAUCAGGUGGUAUCCAUCCCAGAUUCGUCUCCCGAGGCCCUUCCAAUGCGCUUACCUACCUGGAGCCUCUCGCUGGGACAGGCACAAAGAACGGGACUUAAGAAUUCCAUUUCUAAGAAUAAUUUUGUGUAAGGAAAACCUCCCAGUGAAAAUGGUCUGAUGAAAUGUGCUUAGUUUGGCUUUGGCCGAGCUCCUCGUCGUCCUAAACGAGUGCACAGAAACACGCACAAACAAUAUUUGCUACUGCCUAAAAAGUGUAACCCUGCAUUUACGGCAAAAGCAACGGAGGAGAUUGAGAAGUGGAGACUGGCCCCUAAGAAGAGCUCCGCUUACAUAAAAGAGGAGGUGUGGACUGCUGCCACCAAGCGGUGAGCCACGCAAGCCUGAUGGCUGCCAAGAGCCCUCACUUAUCCGGAACCCAGCCUGGUCCCUGGGGAAGGUGGACAGGAAGAGGAGGAAAGUGAAGAAGACGCCAGUGCCGCCAAAGUAACCGUUAGGAAAAGACGCGUCCUAAAGCCGAAUGUGCUUUUUAUUCGGAGAACGCCGUAUCGGGACCUCAUUCGUGCUGUUUUAAGGCCCGAUUCCAACAAGCUUAGUUUUCAAACCCUAUAGCACGUUGGAAUCAAGGAAUUAGCACGCGAAGAAAGCCAGUGAACACACUACGUAUUUAUUUUAGUCUUAACAAACACCAAUAGCAACCAACGCGACACUGGUUACGGACUCAAUUUUAAGGAUGAUGAAACAGGUUCAGAGAAGGUCAGCCAGUAAGUGAUCAAGUCUGUCUUCACAUGCAGGGUUCUGGCCUCAGAGCUCAUGUCUCUUCCUUUUCUCCCCCUCGCCUUUCCAGAGACAGGCACGCUGAGAAGCAAGCCUCAAUGGCAGGACAAUGGCAGGACAAUGGCGGGGGACAGCAUGGAAUCAGUAUUGAAAAUUUGCCGCACCCUGGGAUGAUCCAGUAUAGAGGAAAAUGGCCUCCUCGGUUCCCAAAUGCGUCUAUUUUAGAGGAUAGUCGUCAUUGAUUUGCAUCAAUAUGUCCAAAUGCGUCAACUUUCUCGGUGUAAAGCGUAGGGAGAAAGAAUCCUGGGGGGGAUACAGGUUCAGGGGAUCCAGGCGUAGCUUUGCCUUUCACUGGCUGUGGGAACUUAGCCAUGUUACAUCACCUCAUCGCGCCUCUGUUUCCUCAUCUGAAAAAUUAACAUAAUUAUUCCGCCUACCUCAUGGAGCUGGUUCAGGAGGAUUCAAUGAGGCAAUUCGUAGAAAUAGUUAAAGCUGUGCCUGACGCUUAGGAGGCAUGACUUACGAAGCAUAGAUGCUUUAGAGAGGUAAACGCUUACCUCCCGAAAGGACGAAAUCUGACUUCUUAUUUAAAUUGCUCAUCUGUCCAUUCAUUCAUUCAACACACAUUCACUAAGCCCAUAUUAUGAGCCAGCAGCGGGUGGCCACCAGGCAAACAAAUAUAAAUAAACUACCGCUCUUCGCCAGUAGGAGCUCAGACGUGUAAACAGAAAAUCUGCCGCGAUGAGGGAGGUGCUGGGAGAGCAUUUCUGCGGGAACACGGAUACAGGAACGUGCAGCCUCCUACCUCGCCCUGGAGGAGUCAGGAUGGCCGCCCCGAAGUGAGGUUCCACAGAAGGUGAAGAGGGAAAGGGCAUUCCAAUGGAGGACACAGCAUGUUUAAGCAAAGACCCGAAUGGAGGAAGAGCAGAUCCCCUGUGGAGGAUACAGAACAUGCUAAUAGAAGCCAGAUCUUUUUGGUUAGUUUUGAUUGAGCUUCAUGGAGUUAUCACUCUGACAGUGGUAUUUUCAUUAAGAGGAGAAUGGUUUACUGUCCAAACUGGAAAUGGUGUCUUCUUGUAUGGGAUUGCAGCUGGAAUAAAUGGAGUGAAGACGAACAGAAAAGCAGGCACCUGGCUCUUCUUCCUUAUUCUACACUUCUGAGUGAGUUCUGGUCCCUCCCAGCCUCAAUUUCCCCAUUGCUAUGGGAACUGAAAUCAAUCCUACGGCCCACACUGUCUCUUGCAAAUGAGCUGGAUGAGUGUUCACCACCCUGAGCCCUCCAAUAUCCAGCACUGUAAAUUUCAGUUGUAAUUGCCGGUAUUACUCAGAAAAGGAAAAGAAAUAUUUCCAGUUCUGGGAAGAGCAGGGCUAACAGCUGUAGCUGAACACGAGACGAGGGAGGAUGACAAACCACAGACGUGCCCAGCUCUUGGGUGCUCCGAAGGGAACCUGGGCAGAAAAUGGCGGCCCCCGUCAGGUAACUUUCAGCGUCACACGAAGAGAUGUGACCUUGAUAACCACGCCAGCUGAGUUCCUGAAUAAUAAUAUUUUAAGCAAUACGGAACAUAAGACAAAUAGACUCACUUAGCAUCUGGGGAGCCAAUGGCACCCAGGCUUGCCCAAACUGGCCUUUCUCAUUGCAGGGUGUGGGAGAACACAGGGCUUUGUGGGUCCCUGGGGGCCUGCCAGGCCCAGAGCUGUUGCUCAGCUGUGGGAAGCACUCCAGUUCUCAGGUCUGCUAAUGAGUGGUGUGGUGUCUGGCAAGGGCCUGGCCUGUGAGCGAGUGUGACUAAUCAUGAAUCUUUUCAAUAACGCUGACAGUUCAUUCUCUGCUCUCUCCUUCGGCUGCUCUCUGUGCUGGAGCUGGCUGAAAGAGGAGCAAAUUAGCCUCAUUCUGGAAAAGGCAGGGCAUGAUAAAGGACCCCCUCAAAGGUCUCCAGUGCUCCGUGCCUGGAUGUUUUGCAGCCGGUGUAAUUAUCUGACUUGGGUGGCUCGACGGUAUUUUUGAUGUUGUUGUUCCCUCUCCUCAAUAGCAGGCAGUGUCUGAAGACAGUGCCCGGUUACUGUUCUGGGAGCUAUUUAACAAAUAUAGGUUUGACACCAGCAAAGACAGUGUCAUGAUUAUCCUGCAUAUGCUCCAGCCCAAGCUGACGACCCUCCCAUUUCCUGUCCAAAGGGUACAUUUUGUUGAAUUAUGCUUCUGUCCCCACACGGAAAUGUGGUAGACCUUAAGCGCCCCGGACUCCUUAAUUGGGGGUGGGAGCCAAAGAGGGGAUGAAGCUUUCCCUCCGAUUCCUCUGUCUCCCCGCCACCCACUUUGCUGCUUGAUAAGUUCACUGUGCUUCUAACACCACAGCCAAACUGCGUGUUCUGUCACGGGGAAGGGGUGUGUGUGUGUGUGUGUGUGUGCGCGCGUGCGUAUCUCAGGAAAGUUAGUAAUGCCAUCUGUUGGUUAGUGGACUGGAAGAAUUUCAAGCUGGAAGGCAAGCUUUGCUGAUGUUGGACCAAAACACUUAGAAAAGAGUGGUAAUUGUCCAGUGGAUGUGGUACUUUCAUCAUGGACUGGGCUUCUGAGAAUAACUCAUAUAUAAUUUUUUUUUAGAGAGGGAGAGAGAAGGAAAGGGGCAGAGGGAAAGAGAGAGAACCUUAAGCAAGCUCCUCGCUCAGCGCAGAGCCUGACGUGGGGCUUGAUCCCACAACCCUGGGAUCAUGACCUGAGCCGAAAUUAAGAGUCAGGCGCUCAACCAGCCGAGCCACCGAGGGGCUCCUCGACUAUAAUUUCUUAAUAACAGAGCCAAAACAUUUGCACGUCGAGAGACAUGAGCAAGUGAAAGGGGAGGGGAAGUGUAUCCAGCGCUGGGAAACUGAGGCCGUGUGUACCAUUCUUCAUUCCCGAAGAUAAACGCAUCGUCUGGCACUUUCCACCCUCUAGCAUGUAGGCCUGUUUCUUCUCCCUUUCUGAGCCUGGUGGGAUCACUAUGCACUCUUAAGGAGGUCCAAAAGGCUAACUAGAGACACUCAAGCUGUAUUUUCCAAAUCGAAAAUUGAGACGUGUCAGAAUUAUUCUCAGGAAUGAUAAGUGAAAGUAUUUAAAAUUAAGAGUUUUCUUUGAACAUUGUGACCACAGAAUUCUCUUUCAAUUUCUGAAUGCCGUGUGUGUGUAAGGUGCCGUGGGUUAUGGUUCCAGGUAGGGGUUGUAAGUGGUGACCACAGGUCAGAUUUCUCUUCAGCCAUGCAGUGUCUCAAAAACUGGGGAACUUCUCAUGAGCAUCCAAAUUUCUAACUUCUUUUUAAAAAUCGUCAAAUCUGGCAACACUGACUUCAUAGACCCGCAUGAAACUAAAUGGUUGCUGCCUUUUUACAGAAUACUUUGUCACACUCCUCACUACUCUCUGUUGCUUCACAUUUAACCUCCUUUUCCUACCUAUAUGAUCUACCUGCCUCUCCAGGCAUUUAAAUCUGUGCUUGCUGAUUCAGUCACACAUACCAGUGGUUAAGGCUCCUGUCUGUGCACCAUCACAGAAAGGAUAGAGUUUCUUGACUCCUGUCAACUCACGUCCCACCUCAGAGGGCUGGCCCUCAGCACAGCGUUGGUCAAAACGUGACAUUCCCUGAGACAUUGGGAACUCCAAUGUUUAUCAUAUGUUCCAGCUUUGCUUCUUUUAUCGGAGAAGAUCCCCAAAGAGGGAGUCAUCAACAGAUGAUUUUGGUCAUUCCUCGAUGAUAUAAAAUGUAAGACACAAACAUCUCAUAUGCCUUGUUUGUUCUACUGUUCAUGCAGCCAGUUUUGUAACCACAAGAAUCUUUUUAAGAAGAAUAGAUGGCUGGGUCUGGGGGUAGGACUGGGGGGUAGGAAAUUGUUGGGCUUCCAGAUAAUACACUGGUUAAUUAUGGGACCUCUUAUAGUGUUUUGAGCUGGUUCAGUAGGAGAGAAACAGGGAUGAGUAUGCCCAAGUUUAGAAUUUAGAAUGGUGUAAGUUCAUUCCAAAGUGUGUAUGUGAGUAUAUAUGUGAACGUGUGUGUGUGAUCAUCUUUUUUUUUAAGUUUAUUUAUUUAUUUUGAGGGAGAGGAAGAGAGAGCAUGAGCAGGGAGGGACAGAGAGAGAGGGAGAGAGAGAGAAUCCCAAGCAGGCUCUGAGCUGUCAAUGUGGAGCUCGACAUGGGGCUCAAUCCCAUGACCGUGAGACCAUGACCUCAGCUGAAAUCAAGAGUCAGAUGUUCAAACAACUGAGCCACCCAGGUGCCCCUCAUCAUAGAUAAUUCUUUAAUCUUCUAUUUUCUUGAGAACAAUAUUAUGAACUGCAUCAUUUCAUGUAAAAACAUAACUCACAGAUACAACAUGUCUUUAACAAAAUUCUACUAGAAAGUGAGAAAGGUAUUGACAUGUAUCCAGGAGACAAAUCAGCGUUUGUGAAAAUCAUGGUGUCAUUUAUAAUACUUGCCAACUAGUGGUAGGCCAGUGGGGGGGUACCCAUUCAUUCAUUCCCUCAUCAGCAGAUAUUACUAAACACCCACUCUAGAUUGAACCACAUAAACCUUCUAACAUUUGAGCUUUUAAUCUAUGAAAAUAGGUAUCUCACAUGGUUUCACAUGCACCAUGCUAAGUACUAUGUUAGGUAUGGGGAUACAAGAAUAAGAAACGAAGAAUGGAUUCGUAAACAGCAGUGCAAUGAAGGGUCACAAGUGCUGUAAUGGGAACGUGUAGAAAAGCCUGUGAGGACCCAGGGAAGGCGGAAGUCGGAGUGGGAAAGUCUAUUGUGGUGAACACGGUAAUCUUCUCAGUAGAUGAUGCAAUCUUCUGUUUAAAAUUAUUAGUGGUAUUAGCUAAUUUAAACGGAGGAUUUCUAUUACAGCCCCAUGUUAAGAAUUUUAUUUUUAUCUCAUGUUAUCCUCACAGACCCCUAUGGAGUAGGAGUCAUCAUAAUUCCCAUAUUUCAGAAGAGGAAACAGAAGAGUAGAGAGUUUAAGGACUAUACUCAGAUUACACAGCUGGUGAGUGCUGGAGCUGGGAUUCACCCUGUGACUGUGUAGA